GACGAACGCUGGCGGCGUGCCUAAUACAUGCAAGUCGAGCGGUGAAGGUUGGCUCUUGUACCGACUGCAUGAGCAGCGAACGGGUGAGUAACGCGAGGGUACUCUGCCUUUGAGCGGGGGACACCAUUUGGAAACGAAUUCUAAUACCCGAUAAGAACUUUAAACACAAGUUUUAAGUUAGAAAGAUGUAAUUGCUUCACUUAAUGAUGAUUCGCCGUUGUAUUAGGUAGUUGGUUAGGUAAACGCUCAACAAGGCGAGGGCUCAUAGCCGACCUGAGGAGGAGGAUGGCCAACCUGGGACGGGGACACGGCCCAAACGCCUAAGGGAAGGAGCCGUAGGGGAACGUUGGCAAUGGGGGGAAGGCUGAACGAGGAACGCCGCGUGAUGGAAGAAAGUUUUCGGGUCGGGAAACUCGGUUGGUAGGGAAGAAAGUGGGUUAGAGUGGAAAGCUCCUCAAGUGACGGUAACUACACAAGAAGGAACGGCUAACUACGUG
RNAcentral lists this ribosomal RNA (497 nucleotides) under uncultured bacterium. Its description in RNAcentral is "partial 16S ribosomal RNA". It matches the Rfam family "Bacterial small subunit ribosomal RNA", at positions 28 to 507 of the family's 1533-position model. The record is from RNAcentral.